AUGCUCUCAAGAAGCGAUAGUUUUGAACCUGAAUUUAUAAAAGAAAAUGAACCAAUUCGUGUUGAAAAUAUCUUAGGCAGCAAAUCCACCAGGUUUGAGAUGUUCACAGAAACAUGUCAGUUUCAGGAAACUAUAAUUCAGAAUUGUCUAUCUAAUCCAUCAGUAAGCAAGCAGAGGCCAUGUUGUCAAGGAACAGAGUUCAAAAACCAUCAAUCUCAGGAACACUCUGACCAUGUAUUUGAUUCUGUUGAAUACCCAAUAUAUGAUAAGAUGCUAUUUUCAUUUGCUAGGCAACCAUGA
Molecule: ribosomal RNA, 300 nt
Filed under: Triticum aestivum (bread wheat)
Lineage: Eukaryota; Viridiplantae; Streptophyta; Magnoliopsida; Poales; Poaceae
Description: partial small subunit ribosomal RNA
Source: RNAcentral